This 1302-nucleotide long non-coding RNA is filed under the name Sparus aurata (gilthead seabream). RNAcentral describes it as "lncRNA (ENSSAUG00010001457.1)". Lineage: Eukaryota; Metazoa; Chordata; Actinopteri; Spariformes; Sparidae. The record is from RNAcentral.
AUGUGCCUGUCUCCUGUCCUACAACACCUCUACAACCUGAGCCUUGGUCAGGAGAGAAUACCGGUGCUUUGUAAGACUUCCUGCCUGGUUCCUGUUCCAAAGAAGUCGACACCAUCAGACCUCAAUGACUAUAGACCAGUGGCCCUCACAUCUUACGUCAUGAAGGUGCUGGAGAGACUGGUUUUGGCCAACCUGAGGCCGCAGGUGAGAGCCCUGCUAGACCCUCUGCAAUUUGCUUACCAGCCCCACUUGGGAGUUGAUGACGCUGUCAUCUACCUGCUGCAACGAGCCCAUUCGCACCUGGAUAGUGGAGGAGGCACUGUGAGAAUCACAUUCUUUGAUUUCUCUAGUGCUUUUAACACCAUUCAGCCACUGCUACUGGGGGAGAAGCUGCGGGUGAUGGGUGUAGACAACACAAUGAUCUCCUGGAUUACUGACUACCUGACAGGCAGGCCACAGUUUAUCCGUAUGGGCAGUGUUCUGUCUGAUGCGGUGGUUAGUGAUACAGGAGCUCCACAGGGGACUGUACUGUCUCCUUUCCUGUUCACCUUAUACACCACUGACUUUCAGUACAACACCGGGUCGUGUCACCUGCAAAAGUUUUCUGACGACUCGGCUGUUGUUGGGUGUAUAAGUGAGGGACAGGAGGAGGAGUACAGGGCACUGGUAGACAACUUUGUGGAGUGGACUGGACAGAAUCACCUGCGGCUGAACAUCAGCAAGACCAGAGAGAUGGUGAUAGAUUUCAGGAAGAAGAGGAAGACGGCUUUCCAACCUCUGUGCAUUCUGGGAAAGGAUGUGGAGGCGGUGGAGGAUCACAAGUACCUGGGUGUUACCAUCAACCACAGACUGGACUGGAGAUCUAACACUGAAGCUGUUUACAAGAAGGGGAUGAGCAGACUUUACUUCCUGAGGAAGCUGAGAUCCUUCAACGUGUGCAGCAAGAUGUUGGAGAUCUUUUAUCAGUCUGUGGUGGCCAGUGUACUUUUCUUUGCUGUGGUUUGUUGGGGAAGCAGCAUUGGAGCCAGCGACACCAACAGACUCAACAAACUGAUCAGGAAGGCUGGCUCUGUGAUUGGCUGCAAACAGGACACUCUGGAGGCUGUGGUGGAGAGGAGGACACUGAAAAAACUGUUAUUCAUCAUGGAUAAUCCUCUCCACCCUCUCCAACUCACACUGGUCAGACAGCGGAGCACCUUCUCCGGAAGACUGCUUCAGCUUCGCUGUCGUAGCAAUAGAUACAAGAAAUCUUUCCUGCCACAAUCCAUCACAUUAUACAAUAACUCUCUCACCUCUGCCUGA